AUUCUCACCCCUAAUCCAGUGGUUUUCAAACUUUUUUCUGGGGACCCAGUUGAAGAAAAUGUUUGAUGCCCACAACCCAAUGGAACUGGGAAUGAGGAGUUUAGGGUGUGGGAGGGGCUCAGGGCUGGGGCAGAGGAU
Molecule: long non-coding RNA, 138 nt
Organism: Dermochelys coriacea (leatherback sea turtle)
Lineage: Eukaryota; Metazoa; Chordata; Testudines; Dermochelyidae
Exons: 3
Source: RefSeq, a predicted model, not a curated record